GAUGAACGCUGACAGAAUGCUUAACACAUGCAAGUCUUGGCGAAGCUGUGCUCGCACAGCCUAGCCAAGGCGGACGGGUGAGUAACGCGUAAGGAACUUGCCCUGCAGUCAGGGAUAACAGACGGAAACGACUGAUAAGACCUGGUAAAGUCAGGCGGACUCAUGUCCAGCCUGAUGAAAAGAGAUGCUGCAGGAGAGCCUUGCGUCCUAUUAGCUUGUUGGUGGGGUAACGGCCCACCAAGGCGAUGAUAGGUAGCCGGCCUGAGAGGGUGGACGGCCACAAGGGGACUGAGAUACGGCCCUUACUCCUACGGGAGGCAGCAGUGGGGAAUAUUGGACAAUGGGGGCAACCCUGAUCCAGCAAUUCUGUGUGCACGAUGAAGGUUUUCGGAUUGCAAAGUGCUUUCAGCAGGGAAGAAAAAAAUGACGGUACCUGCAGAAGAAGCGACGGCUAAAUACGUG
RNAcentral lists this ribosomal RNA (462 nucleotides) under uncultured bacterium. Its description in RNAcentral is "partial 16S ribosomal RNA". It matches the Rfam family "Bacterial small subunit ribosomal RNA", at positions 28 to 507 of the family's 1533-position model. The record is from RNAcentral.